This is a long non-coding RNA of Heterocephalus glaber (naked mole-rat), 11200 nucleotides long. The record is from Ensembl. NCBI's taxonomy places the organism in Eukaryota, Metazoa, Chordata, Mammalia, Rodentia, Bathyergidae.
GUCUUCCCAGUCAAAAAAAAAUUUAAAAAGCAGAGCCUAGAAAAUCCCUUUAGCUUUGGUGAGUACAAAGGACCUAAGAGAGGAGUGAUUUCCUCCAAGGCCUCACUCCGGAGGAACCUGCUCCUCCAUCCCCCCCUCCCCGCCCAGAGUUUUAGUUUUACUGCCUUUCUUACUUCCAAAAUAGUUUAAAAUCCUCAUAAACAUCAAGAGAAGUUUGAGACACAUUCUGGUGAGUUAUUUUUCUGCGAUAUCAAUUUUUUUUUUUUUUUUUGUACCAGCGAUCAAACUUAGGACCUUGCACUUGCAAGGCAGGCAUGGAGCCACUGAACUAAAUUCCUGGCCUUGCCAUAUCAAUUUUGAAAUGUCCUUUUUUCUGUCAUCUUAAGUGUUGUAUUUUCUGCUUCAUCAUGUUUUGAGUAUGGCCUCUGUGAGCUAAUUGUUUGGAUCGGCUUUGGCAUAGGGAAAAUACUUCCUUGAAUUUGCUCCCUACUGAUCACCUCUUCUCAUCUGCCUUGUUCUCAUAGCUUCCUGACUCUCAGAGCCUAUAACUAGUCUCUCUAACUGCAGUGCAUUCACGUGUGCCUGCUGCUAUGGGAGUAAUCCCAUAAAGGUCCUUGGUCAAGUCACCCCUCUUCAUAGAAACUUUCAGUCAUUUUGCUUACUGAAUAGACAUCAGGUUCACUGGUGUUCCAGGUCUGCUUCCGUCUUCUUCCGUCUUCUUUCCUAGCCAGUCUUCGGUGAUGGUGAUAUUCUGGCUGCCGUUGACCUGUUGACCUUCAUGUCUCCUUUCCCUCUCUGCCAAGUUCCUUCUUCAUUGCAUCUGAGGUCUCAUCCUCCAGACCAGCCUGCAUGUGCCCACUGAUGGAAUUCCACCUUCCUCUCAGUCUCUCUAGCAUCAAAGCACAGCCUCUCAGAGGGCAGUAGCUCCAACUCUGGUAUCUGUCUCUCAGAGCAGCCUUGCCUGCAGGAGGGAAGGCACAGGAUUUGAAUGAGUGUGUGGAAUGAAUCCUCAAGUUCCUGUGAUUGGGAAGCAGAAGAGCGAGGACCUCUAACUCAUUGCUCUCUCAGUUGCACUGUAUAUCCCAGGUGCUGGGAAAAGCUCCCAUGGGAUGGGAAUCACCUCUAGGAAAAGGGUGAGGAUAGCACAGUGCACAGACAUUUAAAAUGGAAUCAAAGACAAUAGCAAAACUUGCUGUGGGGAAUUAUCCUAAUACAAAGAUCAACUUCGAUGGCUUUUUAACUUUUAAUCUCAUAUAGUUGUAGAGUAAAGGGAGUGUUAAGUCCCUUUGGGAUUGUGACUGUUCAUUAGAUCUUUUUAUACACAGACUUUUUUUUCCUUUUUAAACGGGGACUUGUUGGAGGCUCCAGGGAUAUUUUGUGUGUGGUCAACACUUCUUGUGUGCCUAGUUGCUUAGGUCACUGUGUGGUACAGUGAAAACCCAAUCUGUCUUUGGGUUGGCUCCACACUCACUUUUCUUACAUUCUCUUACACUUCUCUCCUUGUACCAAAUUGUACUUCACUGGCCUCUCUGACAGCAGUAGCAGAAAUGCAUUGUCCUGCUUGUAGCAAUUAGAUGUUUCUUACCUGGUCCAGGACAUGGCAUACACGAGGAAGUGGCCAUACAUGUACCGGGUGUGUGUUACUUUACGUGACCCCGGCCGAGGCAGAGGGACAAAACAAGUGCAUCAUGUUGGAGACUGGCAGCUGUCCUGCAAGAUCCAGGCUUCUUCUGUUUCGCUCUGCUGUCAAAGGUGAGAGCAGUAAUGUGUGCUGUUCCUAGGUUUGAGCCUUGGAGUCUCGACUGUGUGCUUUUCUCGUCCCCGGAUGGGAAGUUAAAUGUCCCCCCCAUGUCGCCCCUACCGCCCAGCGAGCCCACUGGCCUAGAGCAGGGACAGGCACACUUUUUGUGAAGGACCAAAUAGGAAAUAUUUUCAGCUUUGUGACCAUGUAGUCCCUGCAUAGUUGUGUGAAAACCGCUAAAGAUGAUGCAGACACAGAUGAGUACGCUUGCAUUUUAAUAAAAUGUUAUUUGCAAAAAUAGGCUGGAUUUCACCCUGGGGCCUGCAACUUUCCAGCCUCUCCCAACAGUGCAGAGGCUCCAGAGGGAAAUAGGGGCCCAUGUUACUUCUUAGGGCAGAGCUGCCCCCAGUCCAGCGCUCACCUCAAGACUGAGAGAGAGAGAAAGGCUUCUCCUGAGUGCGCUGCGGUGUUCAAGACCCUUUGGGCAGCCUGACCUUUCCCCUCACCACUGCAUGCCUGCGGGCACUGUUACCCACUCACGCUCAGCUUCACACGUGGGAGCAAGAAGCAUUUGUUGGGCUCCAGCCAUUUGGGACUGACUCUGUGCUGAGUCUUCCCACCAGAAGGCUCUAAGUGAGUCCUUCCCUUUUAUCUAAUGAAGAGAGAUUAUUUUUCUCAGUAGACAUCUCUAUCUGACCAGUGUCUUACACUUGCCUGAAACUGGCACAGGUACCCCAGUAUUUUUGCACAUCCCCUGCACUGCCUUAGGAACAGAGUAGCAUCUAGAUAGAACACGUGAAGGAAAUAAAAUUUGGGGGUUCUUUGGGGUGGAUUUUUGUCUCUCUAUCCAAAGUCCUUUCCCCCUUUUCAGCUAUAGCUUCUGUGUCCUAGUCUUGGAACUGCUCUUAGUUGUAGAUUAAAGUGAUAUCUCAGAAAACUUUAUGUCCUUUCCCCCAUUAUUUGCUUUGUUUUGCUUUUCUAAUAAUUAAUUACAAAAAUUACAUUUACAAAAGCUUUGGAUAAUACAGGAAAUCUAAAAAGUUAUGGAUGCUACAGCUCCCAAAUACAAUCAUACCUUCUACUCCUGGUGGAUUUUGUAUUUAGUUUUGCUUGUAUUUGAACACAAGUUAAGGAAAUUCUUCCAAAUCCAAACAACUGAGAUUCAGGAACUGGUUAAUAAUAGCCAGUUUGGCCAUUUAUUUCUUCCUGAAGAUCAAGGGGGGAUUGAUGGAAGAAGUAAUAUUUUAGCUUUGUCUUAAAGUUUUAAAGGCAUUUUGAAACAUAGAGAAUAAAGAAAAACAUGCUAUUUAAAAAACAUGGAGCCGCUAAAUGUACAUGUAUAUGAAUAAUUUAACAGUUGACUGUGGUCUUGACAACCUAUUAAGCUGUGCUCUCAUUUCCUUUAUUAUGCAUCAGGGAUAGUUAUAUUUGUCUUUUACCCUUCCAGAAAAUGGAAUAUAUUAAGAUAAUCCAUUUUCAAGUACUCUGAACUCUUCAGAGGAAAGGCACUGAAAGUCUGCAACAUAAUUGAUGGAUCAGAUUUUCUGUCAUUCUUACUAUUUAUUAUUAUUUUAUUUGCUACAAUAAGACAUAAUAAUGCUUAUAGCCCUUUCCAUGAAUGGUCUACAAAGGAAAAAGUGUCACAUAUUUAAUUAAUACUUGUUUUAUUAUCUAACUUUUAUUUUCAAAGAAAAGCUAUUGGAAAACCAUACUUAUUCUAGGUUAAAUGCUAAUAACACUAAUUUAAUUCUUCUUAGAUGUUUUGUUGCGUGUUUUUACUGUGAUGUUUAUGCUUCUCAAUGACAUAUAAAGUUAAUAUUAACUUCAAUCAUUAUGGAUUUGACCAUCUCAAAAUCAGGCGAGAUAAUAUUCAAGUACUACUGUCUAAUGACAUUAAAACAAGACACCACUGUGUUCACAAAAUAAACAUUUCAGUUGCAGACAUUUGCAAAUGAUUCAGUGUCUGAUAAGAUAAUAGCCACAUUUCAUAUAUUUCUGCUUUUCAGGCAAAAAAAAAAAAAGGCAUCUAAAAAGCAGUGGAACAAAGAUCAAGCAUUCCUAAGUAAUCUGCUUCAAUACCCACAUGGUAACUUCAGAUUUCUACUUACUCUAAUGUUGGAUACCUUGUGCUUUAUGUUGUGAGUUUAUAACCUCUUGUUAGGUCCCAUAUCAAUAAAAUUGUACAGGAUUACAUUCAAAGUUCAGAUUAUAUUUUAGUGUUAACAUAGACAAAAUUAAAAUCUACCUAAGUCGAUCUAACCAGGAGUGAUUUCACUGUCAUUUUGCAAGUUGAAUAUUAUUGUUUUGCUUGUCAAAAAGUUAUUUUUUAAAAAAUAACUAACUAUAAUUCAGGUAUGACAGGUGGAAGAAAUAAACUCAAGUGAACAAGAAACAUCCCAGUUCUUACUGCCUUUAAAUCAAAUUAAAUAGACACCAGGUUCACCUUACCUGGCUGCCAAGAAACCCAAUUUUUGUUUGGGUUGCUGAUUCUUUCAGGAUCAUAGCAAUGUUCAGAAAAUUACAUGGUUCAGGACCAGGAAAAAGGCCUCUAGUGCUGGGUCAUUAUGGUCCUAUCUGACACAUAAACUACAAGUUGGUCCCUUAUCAUGGUGCAUGGUUCUUGCUCCAUAGCAUGGAGCCUUGGGGCCUGUUCCUAGGCUGAGGCUGCCGCCAUCUGGGGUCUGUCCUUGCUAGUGCACCAGGGAGCCAUUCCUCUGAGCUCUGGCCACACCCUUGCCAGAACACUGUGCACAGUGGUGCCCUUCAUGCUCUGCCAAAAUGCUUGAUGGUGAGGAGAGAGGGCUCAGGGCUAAGCUGUACCUCGAUGGCCAGGUGCAGCGCUCUGGCCUGGGGCCCAUUCAUUUCCCCUGGACAAAGCACUGUCUAAUUUAGUACACACAUACUGGUUACAAUUGCCUUUUGUGACUUUUUAGCUGGUACAAAGGCUCUGUACACAGAUUGUCCAUCCAGCCACCUUCUGAUAAAGCUCCAGGACACCACAUAAGCAGAUGCCACUCUAAGCCCUCAGAGGCCUUGUCCUGUUCCUGCAAUGAGGAGGGACUGUCUUCUCUCAGAUUCCCUGCUUCUCAAAGGCAAGGUUCUCCUCCUGGCCUCCUCCAGGACUCACAGGGAAAGGCCCCUCUGAAGACUUGAGAUUUAUCAAAGUGUAGUGUGCAAAGCCUUGGGCUCCAUAUUGUUUUGCUCACUGCCUGGCCAAACCACCCACAGACAGGAAUUAUCAGGGCCUCGGGUUGGAAUGGAAGAUAGGUGGAAAGUAGCAUAUCGAAAUCCCCCCACAAUGCGGGGAUUAAUAAGAAGAACCCAAUUAUAGUGUUAGGAUUUGCCCUUCCUUUACCCCUAAGGCAGACCAUUACCUUGGACUUGAGUACUUUUCAGAAUGUGGAGUGAGAGGAAGAGAGUUCCAAAGGCAGCAGUUGGACACAAAGCAUCAGAAAGGGGAAUAGAAGGAGGAGAUGAGCCCCAGCACAGAAGAGAGAGAAGAGAGAAGGGGUAGAGCUUGGGCAGUUGACAUAGCACUGGGAUGUUAGAUAGAGCUGAUUAAGUAUCUGCCAAGAAGCCCAGCAUGGUGUCACAUGCCUGUAAUCCCAGCAUGGUGGGAGGCUGGAGCAGGAAAAUUGCAAGUUCAAGCCUGGGCAACUUAGUGAUUUAGUGAGACCCUGUCUCAGAGUAAAGAGAUAGCAAGGGCUGGGGAUGUAGCUCAGUGCAAAGGCCCUGGGGUCAACCUCCAGUACUGCAAAAAAAAAAAAAGGUAUGCUUAUCAUGUCCUGCUUUGUAUGCAGUUUUGGAAUGUCACCACCUUGUAAGAAACUUCCAGGGGAGACCUACCUGGACUUUCCAGGAUUUGUUUUGGGUGAGAUUUUAUUUUUAGGCUGUUCAUUGUGCAAGCCUAUCUUUCUGGUGGCCCAGUGUGCUGAGACACAUGGUUAUCCUGGACCAGCACCAGAGAGUAUGCUGAGAUGCGCAGGCUUUGUGGCACAGGGUAAGGAGUAAGCUGAUUCAUAUUUAGGCGAGUGGCUAAGAAUUUGAAAACAGGAAAAUGGCAAGCUUUGCUUAGGAUGUGGAGGAAGUGGAUGCACAUUGACUGAUACAGGGUGCAAGUUGGCAUCACCACUUGGGGAAACUAUUUGGUAGUAGCUACUACAGCAGAGAACAGGUAUAGCUGUGGCCCAGGAACUGACCCCCAGGAGGAUGCUCAAGCAGAGUGUGCAUGUGUGCACCAAGAGACAUAAACUGCAACAGCUUCAGACUGCCCAACAAGUAAACUGUAGCAUAUCCAGGAAUGGGAUUCCACAGGGCAUUACCAUGAACCAUCUGCAGUUACAUGGCAAUAGAGCCGGUGCUCACGGAGGGUUGCACUUGUUCUCUAGGAUCCCCCGUACAUAGGGUGCAGAUGCAGCCAGAGCACAGAGGUGGAUUAGAGUUGGGGAUGGUGGUUAUUCUUGUGGGGGGAUUGGUGAGAGGAGGUUUAAGGGGAAUUUCUGAAGCACUGAUGGUGUUUUCUUUCCUUAUCUGGAUGAUCUUUGCAUGAGUGUGUUUGGUUAGUGACAAUACAGGAAGCUGUAGAGUUAUCUCUUCUUGCAUGUAUAGCACACAUCAAUAAAAAAGUUAAACCUAAAAAAUGUGUUUAAAUUGUUGCCACUGCCUUUCUUUAUGAAAAUACUGAGUACUAUUGGAAUUGAAUACUAAAUUAUUGUGGGUGAAUCAAACAUUGUUACUAAGAACUGAAGAAUACCUGGAAAUGGAAUUAUCUGUCUAUAAGGAUAUUGGCAUCAGGGGCCACCUGACAGUUUUGUUUCUCCCACAGUAAAGCCAAGAUUAAAAGCAAAGAGAGGUCAUGUUAUAAGUAAUAAGGACGGUGCCUGGUGCCCGGUAGUGCUCAGUGUGGAGUUGUCUUCAAUUGUACAGGUGUAACUAUGUGCUUCGGCAGUAAGGGACAUGGAGGUCAAGACAACAUGCCUGGGAAAGCCUGAUUGUUGUGCAUCUGUACUCAGAAGGUCUGGAUUGGAUGCUGUGUCCUGUUAAAAGGAGGCUACUUUUAAGGGAUCUGAUGAGCAGCUAAUGUUGGCAGUUUUAGAGGGUUUGCUUUGUGCCAGGCCCUGUACUACGCAGAGUUGAUGGAGUGGGGGUGGGAUGAGGGGGAACAGUAGAAACUACUAGGCCCUAGUGGUCUGAAAGGAACCCUGGAGCAUGUUGAUCUUGUGAAUCAAUGCAAAUCCUAAAAAUUGUUUUUAGUUGGAUGAUUUUGAUGAAAGGGUAUUUGUAUUACUUCUCCUUGGUUCCUGAUCUUUGAAUUAGGUAGUAUUAUAUUUUAAAGCAGAGAAAACAAAGUCAUAGAAAAGCUAAGUAAUUUGCCCAGUGUCACACAACUAAUAAUCCAGCAGUGCCACAGUCAGAAUGUGAACCCAGAGAAACUAAGUCCAGAUGCGAAUACAUGAACAAUGAGACCAUGCCAUCUGUUUGGUGCAGACUUGCUUAUGUUUAUGUCACCAGGUCCAAACCAGGCAGAGGAUAAAGGGAAAUCUUCCAUGUAAAAGUAGAAAGUCUGAAUGUUAGAAGUUAAUUCACCUGGCAAAUAAUGUCUGGAUCAAGGAGUCUAGGAACUCUUUGGUAAAUGUUCUGCCAGAGAUUCAAAACAGAAUUCACUUAUGUAAAUGUCUAAAAUUGUUUCUUACAAAGUGAAAAAGACUCCAUUCUAAUCACCUUGGUACAUAAAUAAUCAUUUUAUGCUAUUCUAACUUAUUUGAAGCUUUUUAUCAGUAUUCUGAGAAAACAAACUUAAGUUUGCCAUAAACUUGUUUUUGCCUUUUUUGUAAGUAUUCUUUCCCCCAUCCAUCAACACUGAAAAUGCAUUUCUUUCAUAGUAAUGAAAUUUUAUGUGCCUGUUAAGGGCCAUGUAGAAAUAUUCAAGUCCCAUUAUGAACCCAAAGCCAAUUCAAUGUCAGUUGCAAAGCAGUUGACCCAUUUAGCAUCCGUAGCUACACAUUUCACAUUUUAAACUUCCAGUUUAACUUUUUUAAUCCCUUUGUUUUACUUCUGAGUCUCCCUUUUGUGAUGUAUGUUAAUUACUGUGCCAGGAUCCGGAUCUGCUGGGGUUGGGAUCCCUGGGCACCAGAGCUCACCACCCCAGGUGGGCAGCCAUGGAUGGCCCUGGAAGAUGCCUGGAGGGAAGCUUGGGGCUUCCUGGCAAUGGGAUUUCUCUCCUUCGGGGGCUCUUAGGGUGUUUUUAAUGGAGAUCAUUCAGGCUCAGGUUGGGGAGUUAUUUCAGUAAAAUGCAGAUUAGCCAAGAAUUUCUGAGUUGGGCUAGUUGUAGCUGGUCUCUCAGCCCUGAGUGUUGAGAAUGGGGCUCCAAACCAUUCCUCACUCAUUCCUGACCCUGACCUCAGGUCAAGGGACUGCAAAUCCCUGGCACAGCAGACACUGAAGGGAACCAGAAAGCCUCCCCAGGGCACUGAGCACCUGAGGAAUACUGAACAGGUCUAAAAUCACAUGAGAGCUUGAGUGUCACUUCAAGAAGAGUACAUCAGGUCUGAUAAGUCUAGACUCCUUCCUGGAAAAAGACUUAUUUUUGCAUCUUAUUUUUGCAGCAACUACCUUGCCGGCCCAGGCUCUGGGCUCGGUUCUGUCUUAGCAGCUCAGGCACCCUCUGUCUUCCUGUUCCUUGGAAGGACACUGUGGUCAUUCACAAAGCUCUUCACCCACUGGGUCAGGGGUGUCCCUUUUCACUGUCCACAGCUGUGGGAACAGCUCCUUGUCCGGAGACAUGUUCUUGUGACUCUGCCCCUCUGGCCAGAAGGGCUGUCUGUCCCAGCCAGCUGGCCCUCAGUCUUCUGUCCUUCAGGACGACACCUGGACUCCAUGCCCACUGAAUUCUAUCUUGCUAAAGUUAUGGUAUUUUAGAAACUAGGUCUCAUGUGGAAAUCCAACAGUGCCACUGAAGGAAUAUAGAAAAUAAAUAUCCAAGACCUUAGUAUUGGGAUAGAUGAAUGUUUUUAAGGAAUAACAUGGUAAAGAAAAAGUUAGGGCUGGGGAUUUAGCUUAGUGGUUCCGCCGCCUGCCUCAAAAGUGCGAGGACCUGAGUUCGAUCCCUGGUACCAAAAAAAGUAAAAGGUAGCUUAUUUUUUUUUCCGCAUUGCAAAAACAACUCAUGAUCCUUACGUGGGGAACUGAUAGAGAAACUGGUGCUGUGGCGAGCUCAGCUCGAGGUCAUUCACUCUGUUCAGCUGGACAGUGUCUCUGUUUUCACAGAUUCUGUGUUCUAAUGAGGCAAGUAGGCAUUAAACAACUGAAUUGAUUAGAGAGUUAUAGAUAGCAAUACGUCACUUGAGGAAGUAAUUCUGCAUGAAGGAAUAAAGAGAGCUGGUGUUGGGUCUGUUAAAGAAAGGGCAUUUAAAGCUGCCCAAGAGAGCACCAUAUAUAACAAAAUCUGUGUGAGGAGGUGGGGUGAGUCCUGCAAGAUGUAGAGGAAGAACAUUGUAGAAGAGCAAGGCGAGGAUGCACUCGAUCUGCUUGCACAGCAAGGCCCGUGUGUGCUGGAGAUCAUGGUAUGAGCUGGGGGCAGUGAUCACAGGAACAGCAAGGUCAUAAGAGCCUGUAGGUGACAGAAAUUUGCCUUAUGCCAACAUUCAGGGUGGCGGGAAGCCCUUGGAGAGUCCGAGUGAGGAGUGACAGGAUGCUCACUUGGCUGUGGUAUGGAGGAUGGAUUUUGCAGAGGGCAGAGUGGAACAUUUGGAGGGCAUUUCCGUGCUUCAGGCAGGAGAUGAUGGUGGCUUUGAAAUCUGUAGUGGAGGUGAAAGAGAACAGAAUGGGUGCAGGAUACAUUUCAGAGAGGAAGCGAUAGGAAUUGUGAUCCAUUAGAGGAGGGAGAUGAGGGGAACGUGUGAACAAGUGAAACCAAGGAAGUACAACCAGGGGGGUGAUGGUAAUAUUUACUAAGAUAAAAAACACUUCAUUCAUUCCUCAAAAUGGCCUCUUAGAUGGGAUCUAGUAACCCAUCUGUCCUAUACUAUCCCAUCUAUCUAUUCCAUCCCUCAUCCUUAUAUCCAAUUUCCGUGUAUUCUAUAUUAUUGCCAUAUCUACCACAACAUAGAGAGGACAAUUAAUGUUAAAGCUGUAGAAUAAGCUUUAUUUUUUAUUUUAUUUUUUUAGCCACGGACGCAGCAUUAGAACAGAGUGAGCCGGGAUUUGAAUCUACUCUGCCUGAAUCUAGGAUCCAUAUCUUAACAACUACUCUAAUAUUAUCUUUUGCUUACCAGCCUAAACUUCCAUUGUGAACACUUUUUAUUUCUUUUUGACCGUAAGGUAUAAUUCUGAUUUUAAAAAAUUCUUUUAUUGGUACAUUUUAGGUAUACAGUAGGUUUACAUUUAUCAUUGGGUGCUUGUACCUGUACAUGAUGUAUCUUGGUUCUUAUUUUUCCAUUCCCUGUGCUCCCUUAACCCCCUCCACCCUUCCCUAUUUACAAACACAUUGUUUCCACUUUUUCCUUUUCUCAUAUUUUUUCCUUUCCCUUUCCCCUCCCACUUCUCCUACCCCUCUGAACCUUUUCUUCCUAUUUCACAUUAUCAAUUUUUCAUUUUAAUCCUUAUUUACACUUUCAGUUUUUCACACUAGAGAAACUAUCCGGUAUUUACAUGUUUGUCCUAUAUAUUUCACUUAAGAGUAUGGCCUCAAUAUGCAUCCAUUUAGAUAUAAAUGUCUCCAGUUUCUCGUUCUUCAUGGCUCAGUAGUACUCCAUUUUAUAAAAAAAAAACCCCACAUCUUUUUAUCCAGUUUCCAGUUGAUGGGCACUUGGGCUGUUUCCAAGCUUUUGUUAUUACAAACUGUGCUACUAUAAACAUGGGUGCAUAUAUAUUGCUGUGGUAUGAUUAUUUUAAUUCUUUGGGGAAGAUACCCAGCAGAGGGAUAGCUGGGUCAAAUGAGACCUCUAGUCCUAGUUCUUUGAGGUAUCUCCAUACUGAUUUCCACAGUGGUUGUACCAGUCUGCACUCCCAUCAGCAAUGAAGAAGGGCUCCUUUUUCCCCACAACCCUGCCAGCAUUUAUUAUUAGUUGAUUUCUUGAUAGCAGCCAUUCUUUCUGGGGUGAGGUGGAAUCUCAGUGGUGUUUUCAUCUGCAUCUCUCGAAUGACCAGUGAUGUUGAACAUUUGUUCAUAUAUUUGUUUGCUGCUUUUACUUCUUUGUCUGAGAAAUGUCUGUUCAUUUCAGAUGCCCAUUUUUGAAUUGGGUCUUUGAAUUUGGGAGGUCUGAUUUUUUUCAAUUCUUUAUAUAUUCUAGAUAGUAGUCCUUUGUCUGAGGUAUAGCUGCUAAAAUUUUUUUCCCAUAUUGUAGGUUGUCUGUUAGCUCUGUUGGUGGUUUCUUUUGCAGUGCAGAAGCUUUUUAAUAAGAUAAGAUACCAGUUGUUGAUUCUUUGUGCUAGUUUCCAUGCUACUGAGGUUUUGUUCAU